This 497-nucleotide ribosomal RNA is filed under the name uncultured bacterium. RNAcentral's name for it is "partial 16S ribosomal RNA". It matches the Rfam family "Bacterial small subunit ribosomal RNA", at positions 28 to 507 of the family's 1533-position model. The record is from RNAcentral.
GAUGAACGCUGGCGGCGUGCCUAAUACAUGCAAGUCGAGCGAACGGACGAGAAGCUUGCUUCUCUGAUGUUAGCGGCGGACGGGUGAGUAACACGUGGAUAACCUACCUAUAAGACUGGGAUAACUUCGGGAAACCGUAGCUAAUACCGGAUAAUAUUUUGAACCGCAUGGUUCAAAAGUGAAAGACGGUCUUGCUGUCACUUAUAGAUGGAUCCGCGCUGCAUUAGCUAGUUGGUAAGGUAACGGCUUACCAAGGCAACGAUGCAUAGCCGACCUGAGAGGGUGAUAGGCCACACUGGAACUGAGACACGGUCCAGACUCCUACGGGAGGCAGCGGUAGGGAAUCUUCCGCAAAGGGCGAAAGCCUGACGGAGCAACGCCGCGUGAGUGAUGAAGGUCUUCGGAUCGUAAAACUCUGUUAUUAGGGAAGAACAUAUGUGUAAGUAACUGUGCACAUCUUGACGGUACCUAAUCAGAAAGCCACGGCUAACUACGUG